GACGAACGCUGGCGGCGUGCUUAACACAUGCAAGUCGAACGGAAAGGCCCCUUUGGGGGUACUCGAGUGGCGAACGGGUGAGUAACACGUGAGUAACCUGCCCUUGACUUCGGGAUAACUUCAGGAAACUGGGGCUAAUACCGGAUAGGAAUCCUUGCUGCAUGGUGGGGGUUGGAAAGCUUCGGCGGUUUUGGAUGGACUCGCGGCUUAUCAGCUUGUUGGUGGGGUAGUGGCUUACCAAGGCUUUGACGGGUAGCCGGCCUGAGAGGGCGACCGGCCACAUUGGGACUGAGAUACGGCCCAGACUCCUACGGGAGGCAGCAGUGGGGAAUAUUGCACAAUGGGCGGGAGCCUGAUGCAGCAACGCCGCGGGCGGGAUGACGGCCUUCGGGUUGUAAACCGCUUUCAGCAGGGGCGAAGCUUGUGGUGACGGUACCUGCAGAAGAAGCACCGGCUAACUACGUG
This 465-nucleotide ribosomal RNA is filed under the name uncultured bacterium. RNAcentral's name for it is "partial 16S ribosomal RNA". It matches the Rfam family "Bacterial small subunit ribosomal RNA", at positions 28 to 507 of the family's 1533-position model. The record is from RNAcentral.